Non-coding RNA from Vicugna pacos (alpaca), 109 nucleotides. The record is from RefSeq and is a predicted model, not a curated record. Lineage: Eukaryota; Metazoa; Chordata; Mammalia; Artiodactyla; Camelidae.
UACAGUGCCACCUGAUUCAGGCUAGUCAGGAACACAUAAGAUGGUCUGAUAAACAGGGCCUUUUGCAUAGAGUUCUGAACAAAUCCGAUGAGAGAUAGGAAGAGUACAC